RNAcentral lists this ribosomal RNA (216 nucleotides) under Glomeromycotina sp. RNAcentral's name for it is "partial small subunit ribosomal RNA". The stretch from base 40 to 216 matches the Rfam family "Eukaryotic small subunit ribosomal RNA", at positions 686 to 864 of the family's 1831-position model. Lineage: Eukaryota; Fungi; Glomeromycota. The record is from RNAcentral.
GGGUCAGUAGGUUGGUCGUGCCACCGGUACGUACUGGUCUCACUGAUUCCUCCUUCCUGAAGAACCGUAAUGCCAUUAAUUUGGUGUUGCGGGGAAACAGGACGGUUACUUUGAAAAAAUUAGAGUGUUUAAAGCAAGCUAACGCUUGAAUACAUUAGCAUGGAGUAAUGAAAUAGGACGAUCGAUCCUAUUUUGUUGGUUUCUAGGAUUGACGUA